RNAcentral lists this ribosomal RNA (700 nucleotides) under uncultured bacterium. RNAcentral's name for it is "bacterial SSU rRNA". It matches the Rfam family "Bacterial small subunit ribosomal RNA", at positions 56 to 765 of the family's 1533-position model. The record is from RNAcentral.
UGCAAGUCGAACGGAAUCCAUGGUGUAGCAAUACACCGGAAGAUUUAGUGGCGAACGGGUGAGGAUCACGUGAGAAACGUGCCCCAGACUCUGGGAUAACAAUUGGAAACGAUUGCUAAUACCGGAUGACGUCGGAGAAUCGCAUGAUUCACUGACGAAAGAUAUUUCGGUUUGGGAGCGUCUCGCGGCCUAUCAGCUUGUUGGUGGGGUAAUGGCCUACCAAGGCAACGACGGGUAGCUGGUCUGAGAGGAUGAUCAGCCACACUGGGACUGAGACACGGCCCAGACUCCUACGGGAGGCAGCAGUGGGGAAUCUUGCGCAAUGGGCGAAAGCCUGACGCAGCAACGCCGCGUGCGGGAUGAAGGCCUUCGGGCUGUAAACCGCUUUCAGCAGGAACGAAAAUGACGGUACCUGCAGAAGAAGGAGCGGCCAACUACGUGCCAGCAGCCGCGGUGACACGUAGGCUCCAAGCGUUGUCCGGAUUUAUUGGGCGUAAAGAGCUUGUAGGCGGUUGAGUAAGUCGGGUGUGAAAACUCUGGGCUUAACCCGGAGACGCCAUCCGAUACUGCUCUGACUAGAGUUCAGGAGGGGAGUGGGGAAUUCCUAGUGUAGCGGUGAAAUGCGCAGAUAUUAGGAGGAACACCGGUGGCGAAGGCGCCACUCUGGACUGAAACUGACGCUGAGGAGCGAAAGCAUGGG